CCUACGGGUGGCAGCAGUGGGGAAUAUUGCACAAUGGGGGAAACCCUGAUGCAGCGACGCCGCGUGAAGGAAGAAGUAUUUCGGUAUGUAAACUUCUAUUAGUAGGGAAGAAAAAGAAGGUACCUGAAUAAGAAGCCCCGGCUAACUAAGUUCCAGCAGCCGCGGUAAUACGUAGGGGGCAAGCGUUAUCCGGAUGUACUGGGUGUAAAGGGAGCGGAGGCGGUUUAGCAAGUCAGACGUGAAAGCCCGGGGCUCAACUCCGGGACUGCAUUUGAAACUGGUGAACUAGAGUGCAGGAGAGGUAGGUGGAAUUCCUAGUGUAGCGGUGAAAUGCGUAGAUAUUAGGAGGAACACCAGUGGCGAAGGCGGCUUACUGGACUGUAAAUGACGCUGAGGCUCGAAAGCGUGGGGAGCAAACAGGAUUAGAUACCCGUGUAGUC
This 440-nucleotide ribosomal RNA is filed under the name uncultured bacterium. RNAcentral describes it as "partial 16S ribosomal RNA". It matches the Rfam family "Bacterial small subunit ribosomal RNA", at positions 338 to 795 of the family's 1533-position model. The record is from RNAcentral.